RNAcentral lists this non-coding RNA (31 nucleotides) under Rattus norvegicus (Norway rat). Lineage: Eukaryota; Metazoa; Chordata; Mammalia; Rodentia; Muridae. The record is from RNAcentral.
UGCUGCCUGACUAUGGUGUGAUCAGCUCCUU